Molecule: ribosomal RNA, 405 nt
Filed under: uncultured bacterium
Lineage: Bacteria
Description: bacterial SSU rRNA
Rfam family: Bacterial small subunit ribosomal RNA
Source: RNAcentral
UGAGGAAUAUUGCGCAAUGGACGAAAGUCAGACGCAGCAACGCCGCGUGAACGAUGAAGGCCUUCGGGUUGUAAAGUUCUUUUCUGCGUGAAGAAACGGACGGUAGCGCAGGAAUAAGUGUCGGCUAACUACGUGCCAGCAGCCGCGGUAAAACGUAGGACGCAAGCGUUAUCCGGAUUUACUGGGCGUAAAGCGCGUGCAGGCGGUCUGUUAAGUCGGACGUGAAAGCUCCCUGGCUCAACCGGGAGAGGUCGUUCGAAACUAGCAGACUGGAGGGCAGCAGAGGAGUGUGGAAUUCCGGGUGUAGUGGUGAAAUGCGUAGAUAUCCGGAGGAACACCAGUGGCGAAGGCGGCACUCUGGGCUGUACCUGACGCUAAGACGCGAAAGCGUGGGUAGCGAACGGG